AGAGUUUGAUCAUGGCUCAGAUUGAACGCUGGCGGCAGGCUUAACACAUGCAAGUCGAGCGGAGUGAUGGUGCUUGCACUAUCACUUAGCGGCGGACGGGUGAGUAAUGCUUAGGAAUCUGCCUAUUAGUGGGGGACAACAUUUCGAAAGGAAUGCUAAUACCGCAUACGCCCUACGGGGGAAAGCAGGGGACCUUCGGGCCUUGCGCUAAUAGAUGAGCCUAAGUCAGAUUAGCUAGUUGGUGGGGUAAAGGCCUACCAAGGCGACGAUCUGUAGCGGGUCUGAGAGGAUGAUCCGCCACACUGGGACUGAGACACGGCCCAGACUCCUACGGGAGGCAGCAGUGGGGAAUAUUGGACAAUGGGGGGAACCCUGAUCCAGCCAUGCCGCGUGUGUGAAGAAGGCCUUUUGGUUGUAAAGCACUUUAAGCGAGGAGGAGGCUACUUAGACUAAUACUCUAGGAUAGUGGACGUUACUCGCAGAAUAAGCACCGGCUAACUCUGUGCCAGCAGCCGCGGUAAUACAGAGGGUGCGAGCGUUAAUCGGAUUUACUGGGCGUAAAGCGUGCGUAGGUGGUCUUUUAAGUCGGAUGUGAAAUCCCUGAGCUUAACUUAGGAAUUGCAUUCGAUACUGGGAGACUAGAGUAUGGGAGAGGAUGGUAGAAUUCCAGGUGUAGCGGUGAAAUGCGUAGAGAUCUGGAGGAAUACCGAUGGCGAAGGCAG
This 722-nucleotide ribosomal RNA is filed under the name uncultured Acinetobacter sp. RNAcentral's name for it is "bacterial SSU rRNA". It matches the Rfam family "Bacterial small subunit ribosomal RNA", at positions 8 to 724 of the family's 1533-position model. The record is from RNAcentral. Lineage: Bacteria; Pseudomonadati; Pseudomonadota; Gammaproteobacteria; Moraxellales; Moraxellaceae.